RNAcentral lists this ribosomal RNA (468 nucleotides) under uncultured bacterium. Its description in RNAcentral is "partial 16S ribosomal RNA". It matches the Rfam family "Bacterial small subunit ribosomal RNA", at positions 28 to 507 of the family's 1533-position model. The record is from RNAcentral.
GACGAACGCUGGCGGCGUGCUUAACACAUGCAAGUCGAACGGAAAGGCCCUGCUUUUGUGGGGUGCUCGAGUGGCGAACGGGUGAGUAACACGUGAGUAACCUGCCCUUGACUUUGGGAUAACUUCAGGAAACUGGGGCUAAUACCGGAUCGGAGCUCCUGCUGCAUGGUGGGGGUUGGAAAGUUUCGGCGGUUGGGGAUGGACUCGCGGCUUACCAUCUUGUUGGUGGGGUAGUGGCUUACCAAGGCUUUGACGGGUAGCCGGCCUGAGAGGGUAAACGGCCACAUUGGGACUGAGAUAAGGCCCAGACUCCUACGGGAGGCAGCAGUGGGGAAUAUUGCACGAUGGGCGGAAGCCUGAUGCAGCAACGCCGGGUGCGGGAUGACGGCCUUCGGGUUGUAAACCGCUUUCGCCUGUGACGAAGCGUGAGUGACGGUAAUGGGUAAAGAAGCACCGGCUAACUACGUG